GAAGAGAUAGUGCAAGGAAACCUGAGGACAGUGAAGAGAACAGACAACAUUUUUACUAGUUAGUCUAUCUUGCCAUUUUGCAUUGGAGGAGGUGCAAAGAGAAGAGCUCCACAAAAGCCAGAAGUGGGAAGAAGGAGCGACAAGGGGAGUUACCACCUGCUCGCCUGGGAACGAGCUGCAGCUCUAACCACUGCCAAGAGGUGCUUGGAGAGGAGAGGGAUGAAGGUGCUUUGAGUCAGAAGAUAAAUGGAGUGCUUACAACAGAGGUAGAUAAAGGGAAAUAACUACGUAUUAAGGCAUUUUGUAGUGUUACAGUGCUAAAUAGAG
This is a long non-coding RNA of Athene cunicularia (burrowing owl), 327 nucleotides long. RefSeq lists it as uncharacterized. The transcript has 4 exons. The record is from RefSeq and is a predicted model, not a curated record. NCBI's taxonomy places the organism in Eukaryota, Metazoa, Chordata, Aves, Strigiformes, Strigidae.